RNAcentral lists this ribosomal RNA (254 nucleotides) under uncultured bacterium. Its description in RNAcentral is "partial 16S ribosomal RNA". It matches the Rfam family "Bacterial small subunit ribosomal RNA", at positions 524 to 776 of the family's 1533-position model. The record is from RNAcentral.
UACGUAGGGGGCGAGCGUUGUCCGGAUUUAUUGGGCGUAAAGAGCUCGUAGGCGGUUCGAUAAGUCGGACGUGAAAUCUCCACGCUCAACGUGGAGGGGCCGUUCGAUACUGUCGUGACUCGAGUCCGGUAGGGGAGUGUGGAAUUCCCGGUGUAGCGGUGAAAUGCGCAGAUAUCAGGAAGAACACCCGUGGCGAAAGCGGCUCUCUGGAACGGUACUGACGCUGAGACGCGAAAGCGUGGGGAGCGAACAGG